This 497-nucleotide ribosomal RNA is filed under the name uncultured bacterium. Its description in RNAcentral is "partial 16S ribosomal RNA". It matches the Rfam family "Bacterial small subunit ribosomal RNA", at positions 28 to 507 of the family's 1533-position model. The record is from RNAcentral.
GAUGAACGCUGGCGGCGUGCCUAAUACAUGCAAGUCGAGCGAACAGACGAGGAGCUUGCUCCUCUGACGUUAGCGGCGGACGGGUGAGUAACACGUGGAUAACCUACCUAUAAGACUGGGAUAACUUCGGGAAACCGGGGCUAAUACCGGAUAAUAUAUUGAACCGCAUGGUUCAAUAGUGAAAGACGGUUUUGCUGUCACUUAUAGAUGGAUCCGCGCCGCAUUAGCUAGUUGGUAAGGUAACGGCUUACCAAGGCGACGAUGCGUAGCCGACCUGAGAGGGUGAUCGGCCACACUGGAACUGAGACACGGUCCAGACUCCUACGGGAGGCAGCAGUAGGGAAUCUUCCGCAAUGGGCGAAAGCCUGACGGAGCAACGCCGCGUGAGUGAUGAAGGUCUUUGGAUCGUAAAACUCUGUUAUUAGGGAAGAACAAAUGUGUAAGUAACUAUGCACGUCUUGACGGUACCUAAUCAGAAAGCCACGGCUAACUACGUG